AGACACCCUUCUGGGGCAAGACUUGCUUCAGUGGGGCUUUGGUGCUCACUGAGUCUGCCUCCUGAGUGUGUCUCU
RNAcentral lists this microRNA precursor (75 nucleotides) under Myotis brandtii (Brandt's bat). RNAcentral describes it as "mir-9229 microRNA precursor family". It matches the Rfam family "mir-9229 microRNA precursor family". The record is from Rfam by way of RNAcentral. Lineage: Eukaryota; Metazoa; Chordata; Mammalia; Chiroptera; Vespertilionidae.